AUUGAACGCUGGCAGCAUGCUUUACACAUGCAAGUCGAACGGCAACAGGGUGCUUGCACCGCUGACGAGUGGCGAACGGGUGAGUAAUGCGUCGGAACGUGCCGAGUAGUGGGGGAUAACGCAGCGAAAGUUGUGCUAAUACCGCAUACGUACUGAGGUAGAAAGUGGGGGACCUUCGGGCCUCACGCUAUUCGAGCGGCCGACGUCUGAUUAGCUAGUAGGUGAGGUAAAGGCUCACCUAGGCGACGAUCAGUAGCGGGUCUGAGAGGAUGAUCCGCCACACUGGGACUGAGACACGGCCCAGACUCCUACGGGAGGCAGCAGUGGGGAAUUUAGGACAAUGGGCGAAAGCCUGAUCCAGCCAUGCCGCGUGUCUGAAGAAGGCCUUCGGGUUGUAAAGGACUUUUGUCAGGGAGGAAAUCCCUAGUGCUAAUAACACUGGGGGAUGACAGUACCUGAAGAAUAAGCACCGGCUAACUACGUGCCAGCAGCCGCAGUAA
This 500-nucleotide ribosomal RNA is filed under the name uncultured bacterium. Its description in RNAcentral is "partial 16S ribosomal RNA". It matches the Rfam family "Bacterial small subunit ribosomal RNA", at positions 30 to 523 of the family's 1533-position model. The record is from RNAcentral.